Long non-coding RNA from Manduca sexta (tobacco hornworm), 600 nucleotides. RefSeq lists it as uncharacterized. The record is from RefSeq and is a predicted model, not a curated record. The transcript has 2 exons. Lineage: Eukaryota; Metazoa; Arthropoda; Insecta; Lepidoptera; Sphingidae.
GUACUAAGGCAGAAAACAUAUUUCAAUCAUCUUUGUUGGUGCAUAUUUGUAAUGGAUAAUGAAAAAUUGGGAAUAAAUAGUUUAAAAUACAGUUUUUUAUAGCUUGGCAAAAAAGUGAAAUGGAACUAAUCCUUUAUUUUAUGGCUGGCCACAUUAUCACAUUUUUGACGUUUGUGAAGUUUAAUAAAUUGUGUCGGUAUUUUCGUUUUUAUUAAAAUUUAAUACUAAAUACUAAUACUUUUCGCGAUAGAAAAUGAAUAAGCCGCGAAUAAUAAGUUCCAUGAGAAAAAAUAUUUAUAAAACUUUUACCGACGAUGUCGACAAUUUUUACCAAAGAACCGCUGAUAUGACUGGAAGCAUAUGUGAGUGCAUUUCAAGACAUAACCGAAGAUGAUUGGAAAAACUCAUGUCAAUAUGUAAGAAAAAUUUAAAUUGAGUAUUACAAGAGAGAGCAUACCCUGUAAGAGGAUAUUGAAAGAAUUGUAAUAAAUCCUAAAGAUGACAGUAGUAGUUCUUCAGAAUCACAGGAUGACUGUCCAGCCAGCUCCAGUCAUGAAAAUAUGGACAUUGAUUUUACUGAAAUACAAUAUUUGGAAGAAA